Molecule: ribosomal RNA, 555 nt
Filed under: uncultured bacterium
Lineage: Bacteria
Description: partial 16S ribosomal RNA
Rfam family: Bacterial small subunit ribosomal RNA
Source: RNAcentral
UGGGGAAUCUUCCGCAAUGGACGAAAGUCUGACGGAGCAACGCCGCGUGUAUGAUGAAGGUCUUCGGAUUGUAAAGUACUGUCAUUGGGGAAGAACGGUUUUCUUGAAAAGAUUGAGAAGACAUGACGGUACCCAAGGAGGAAGCCCCGGCUAACUACGUGCCAGCAGCCGCGGUAAUACGUAGGGGGCAAGCGUUGUCCGGAAUUAUUGGGCGUAAAGGGCGCGUAGGCGGGCUUUUAAGUCCGGUGUGAAAGAUCAGGGCUCAACCCUGAGAGUGCAUCGGAAACUGGAGGCCUUGAGGACAGGAGAGGAAAGUGGAAUUCCACGUGUAGCGGUGAAAUGCGUAGAUAUGUGGAGGAACACCAGUGGCGAAGGCGACUUUCUGGACUGUAACUGACGCUGAGGCGCGAAAAGCGUGGGGAGCAAAACAGGAUUAGAUACCCUGGUAGUCCACGCCGUAAACGAUGAGUGCUGGGUGUAGAGGGUAUCGACCCCUUCUGUGCCGCAGUUAACACAAUAAGCACUCCCGCCUGGGGAGUACGGCCGCAAGGUUUG